UUUAAUAUUUGGCAAAGCAGACGAAAGUUUGUGACGCAAAGCUUUAGUCUAAAGCGGAUUUCGCUAUGAUUGUCAAGUUGCAAUU
RNAcentral lists this non-coding RNA (85 nucleotides) under Parasporobacterium paucivorans. Its description in RNAcentral is "c-di-GMP sequence". It matches the Rfam family "c-di-GMP-I riboswitch aptamer". From Rfam's summary of the family: GEMM was predicted in a large-scale screen for bacterial structured RNA regulatory elements. Genes associated with GEMM are involved in a diverse array of functions, including chemotaxis regulation, signal transduction, secretion and chitin. Lineage: Bacteria; Bacillati; Bacillota; Clostridia; Lachnospirales; Lachnospiraceae. RNAcentral also lists the same sequence under 1 other name. The record is from RNAcentral.